Molecule: ribosomal RNA, 404 nt
Filed under: uncultured bacterium
Lineage: Bacteria
Description: bacterial SSU rRNA
Rfam family: Bacterial small subunit ribosomal RNA
Source: RNAcentral
UGAGGAAUCUUCCGCAAUGGACGAAAGUCUGACGGAGCGACGCCGCGUGAAGGAUGAAGGGUUUAUUCUUGUAAACUUCUUUUCUCUGGGAAGAUAAUGACGGUACCAGAGGAAUAAGGGACGGCAAACUACGUGCCAGCAGCCGCGGUAAUACGUAGGUCCCGAGCGUUAUCCGGAAUUACUGGGUGUAAAGCGUCUGUAGGUGGAACUAUAAGUCUUGUAUGAAAGACCGGGGCUCAACCCCGUGUUUAUGCAGGAGACUGUAGAUCUAGAAUGAGGGAGAGGCAAGCAGAAUUAUGAGAGUAGGGGUGCAAUCCGUAGAUACUCAUAAGAAUACCAAAAGCGAAGGCAGCUUGCUGGAACUCUAUUAACACUGAGAGACGAAAGCGUGGGGAGCGAAAAGG